RNA transcript from Cervus elaphus (red deer), 1657 nucleotides. It is a transcript of the gene named nuclear migration protein nudC-like, with no coding region annotated. Lineage: Eukaryota; Metazoa; Chordata; Mammalia; Artiodactyla; Cervidae. The transcript has a single exon. The record is from RefSeq and is a predicted model, not a curated record.
ACCCAGGGAUAUAACUCAGGUCUCCCUCAUUGCAGGCAGCUUCUUUACCAGCUGAGCCACAAGGGAAGCCUAGAUGUUUACCUUUACUUACUUAUAAAAGCUUGGAAAAGUCGUUUGACCUCUGGAGCUUGAAUUUUAUUUCUUUUUAAAAUAUGCAUGAUAACAUACACCUCACAAGACUGUUAAAUAAGUUAUGUGAAGCAAUGCAUUUGAAAAAUACAUCAUAAACUAAGAAUUACAUAUAUAUUAACUUUUAUCUGCACAUAUUUGUUUCACACAGUGUUUACUGAUCAUUUGCUUUAUACUACACUUAUGCUAAGAACUAUGAAAGAUUCAGACAUUAAAAACAUAUAUACGGAAGGCAGACCGGAGCCGUUGGACUGGACAUGAUCCGAAGGGUCAGGGAGCGCGGGAUGCGAGUGUGGAGCUUGAAUUUCGGAGCGUGGCUAGCAGCUGGCAUGAUGGGUGGGGAGCAGGAGGAGGAUCGGUUCGACGGCAUGUUGCUGGCCAUGGCGCAGCAGCACGAGGGCGGCGUGCAGGAGCCGGUGAACACUUUCUUCAGCUUCCUUCGAUGCAAAACAGACUUCUUUGUUGGAGGAGAAGAAGGCAUGGCAGAAAAGCUUAUCACACAGACUUUCAACCACCACAACCAGCUGGCACAGAAGGCCCGGCGGGAGAAGCAAGCUCGGCAGGAGACUGAUCAGUGGGAGAAGGUGGAGCGGGCAGCCAGGUUGGCCACGGAGGCCAAGUCAGAGACCUCCGGGCCCCAGAUCAAGGAACUGACUAAGGAGGAGGUUGAGAGGCUACAGCUGGAAAUUGACCAGAAAAAGGACGCCAGCUCAAGAAAGGCAGUCUUGGCUCCCCAGGGAAGCAGGAGGCCAAGGAGGAGGAGGAGGAGGAUGAGAAGGACAAAGGGAAGCUGAAGCCCAACCUCGGCAACGGGGCAGACCUGCCCAGUUACCGCUGGACCUGGACCCUGUCGGAGCUGGACCUGGCCGUUCCGUUCUGCGUGAACUUCAGUCUGAAGGGGAAGGAUGUGGUGGUGGAUAUCUAGCGGAGGCAUCUCCGGGUGGGGCUCAAGGGACAGCCAGCGAUCAUGGAUGGGGAGCUCUACAAUGAGGUGAAGGUCGAGGAGAGCUCAUGGCUCAUCGAGGAUGGCAAGGUGGUGAUGGUGCAUCUGGAGAAGAUCAACAAGAUGGAGUGGUGGAGCCGCUUGGUAUCCAGUGACCCCGAGAUAAAUACUAAGAAGAUCAACCCCGAGAACUCCAAACUGUCAGACCUGGAUAGUGAGACCUGUAGCAUGGUGGAGAAGAUGAUGUAUGACCAGAGACAGAAGUCCAUGGGGCUGCCUACCUCGGAUGAGCAGAAGAAACAGGAGAUUCUGAAGAAGUUCAUGGGUCAGCAUCCAGAGAUGGACUUUUCCAAGCCCAGAUUCAACUAGCCACUGUGUUUGCUCCCCUGAACUCUCCAGGCUGAGCUCCUGGCUCCCCACUUUUCCUCUCCCACCCUCCCUGGGACUGGUGGGCUGCAGGGCCAGGGCAGGCACGGGUCUGGCCGGCACACACAGGUCCCAGGCCAUCAUGGGAGAAGGGCUGGGGCCUUGGAGGGUAUUGUCCUCCCCAGCUGGCCUGCUGUUACACAUUAAAACUAUUUACCC